This 88-nucleotide transfer RNA is filed under the name Candidatus Bathyarchaeota archaeon. RNAcentral's name for it is "tRNA-Ser". It matches the Rfam family "tRNA". From Rfam's summary of the family: Transfer RNA (tRNA) molecules are approximately 80 nucleotides in length. Their secondary structure includes four short double-helical elements and three loops (D, anti-codon, and T loops). Lineage: Archaea; Thermoproteati; Candidatus Bathyarchaeota. The record is from RNAcentral.
GCCGGAGUCGCCUAGUGGUAUGGCGCAGGCCUGGAGAGCCUGUGAGCCCUUUGGGCUCGCGUGGGUUCGAAUCCCACCUCCGGCGCCA